Molecule: transfer RNA, 85 nt
Filed under: Lentisphaerota bacterium
Lineage: Bacteria; Pseudomonadati; Lentisphaerota
Also listed under: 1 other name
Description: Lentisphaerae bacterium tRNA-Leu
Rfam family: tRNA
About the family: Transfer RNA (tRNA) molecules are approximately 80 nucleotides in length. Their secondary structure includes four short double-helical elements and three loops (D, anti-codon, and T loops).
Source: RNAcentral
GCCGAAGUGGCGAAAUGGCAGACGCGCUAGACUCAAAAUCUGGUUCCCUCCGGGAGUGUGGGUUCAAGUCCCACCUUCGGUACCA